GUGAGGUAACGGCUCACCAAGGCAUCGACGGGUAGCUGGUCUGAGAGGAUGAUCAGCCACACUGGGACUGAGACACGGCCCAGACUCCUACGGGAGGCAGCAGUGGGGAAUAUUGCACAAUGGGCGCAAGCCUGAUGCAGCGAUGCCGCGUGCGGGAUGAAGGCCCUAGGGUUGUAAACCGCUUUCAGUAGGGAAGAAAAUGACGGUACCUACAGAAGAAGGUGCGGCCAACUACGUGCCAGCAGCCGCGGUGACACGUAGGCACCAAGCGUUGUCCGGAUUUAUUGGGCGUAAAGAGCUCGUAGGCGGUUCAGUUAGUCGGGUGUGAAAACUCUGGGCUCAACCCAGAGACGCCACCCGAUACUGCUGUGACUAGAGUACGGUAGGGGAGUGGGGAAUUCCUGGCGUAGCGGUGAAAUGCGCAGAUAUCAGGAGGAACACCAGUGGCGAAGGCGCCACUCUGGGCCGUAACUGACGCUGAGGAGCGAAAGCAUGGGUAGCAAACAGGAUUAGAUACCCUGGUAGUCCAUGCCGUAAACGUUGGGCACUAGGUGUGGGUCUCAACCAACGAGAUCCGCGCCGUCGCUAACGCAUUAAGUG
This 600-nucleotide ribosomal RNA is filed under the name uncultured Actinomycetes bacterium. RNAcentral's name for it is "bacterial SSU rRNA". It matches the Rfam family "Bacterial small subunit ribosomal RNA", at positions 252 to 866 of the family's 1533-position model. The record is from RNAcentral. RNAcentral also lists the same sequence under 1 other name. Lineage: Bacteria; Bacillati; Actinomycetota; Actinomycetes.